UCUAAGGAUGAACCUCCAGAUCCUCACGAUCUAUUGGUUCGUUCAAAGACACUAUCCAAGUGCGGGACGCCGCCGUCUUCGUUUCUCUUUCCUUUCGCCCCCGCCGACCAGGCGGCCGGGCGUGAUCGCGAGCCCAGGGCGCUCCUAGCCCUUGACGGACCGCAUAGGCCCGUAGCUCAGGUGGUUAGAGCGUACGCCUGAUAAGCGUAAGGUCGGCAGUUCGAGUCUGCCCGGGCCUACCAUCUUCGGACGGGUCGGCCGCUCCCAAUGGGGCCAUAGCUCAGUUGGUAGAGCGCGUGCUUUGCAAGCAUGAGGUCGUCGGUUCGAUCCCGUCUGGCUCCACCAGGCGCUCAGCGAUCAGGAAAGCAAAAGUUUCGGGCCGCGCGGCAAGCGCAGCUCGAUUGACAUCGUGAAUGAAGGGUCGACCCGGCUCCCCCUGGAGCUUGGAGGGUGGACUUGAAAUGACAUCAUCUAAAGACAAAGCGCAUGUGUGGGCGCACGUCCGGCGUUUCGAACCGCCGGCGGGCAAACCGUCCCCACGCAUGAGUUUUGCUGAGAACGAUCAAGCGCAUAAGGGCUUCUGAAGGAUGCCUUGGCGUCGAGAGGCGAUGAAGGACGUGGCACGCUGCGAUAAGCUCCGGGGAGGUGCGAGCACCCCUUGAUCCGGAGAUCUCCGAAUGGGGAAACCCGG
This 691-nucleotide unclassified non-coding RNA is filed under the name uncultured Pseudomonadota bacterium. Its description in RNAcentral is "uncultured proteobacterium partial contains 16S ribosomal RNA, 16S-23S ribosomal RNA intergenic spacer, and 23S ribosomal RNA". The stretch from base 561 to 691 matches the Rfam family "Bacterial large subunit ribosomal RNA", at positions 1 to 131 of the family's 2925-position model. The record is from RNAcentral. Lineage: Bacteria; Pseudomonadati; Pseudomonadota.